This 2859-nucleotide ribosomal RNA is filed under the name Salmonella enterica subsp. enterica serovar Thompson str. RM6836. Its description in RNAcentral is "bacterial LSU rRNA". It matches the Rfam family "Bacterial large subunit ribosomal RNA". Lineage: Bacteria; Pseudomonadati; Pseudomonadota; Gammaproteobacteria; Enterobacterales; Enterobacteriaceae. The record is from RNAcentral.
GGGUUGUGAGGUUAAGCGACUAAGCGUACACGGUGGAUGCCCUGGCAGUCAGAGGCGAUGAAGGGCGUGCUAAUCUGCGAUAAGCGCCGGUAAGGUGAUAUGAACCGUUAUAACCGGCGAUACCCGAAUGGGGAAACCCAGUGUGACUCGUCACACUAUCAUUAACUGAAUCCAUAGGUUAAUGAGGCGAACCGGGGGAACUGAAACAUCUAAGUACCCCGAGGAAAAGAAAUCAACCGAGAUUCCCCCAGUAGCGGCGAGCGAACGGGGAGGAGCCCAGAGCCUGAAUCAGCAUGUGUGUUAGUGGAAGCGUCUGGAAAGGCGCGCGAUACAGGGUGACAGCCCCGUACACAAAAGCGCAUGUGCUGUGAGCUCGAUGAGUAGGGCGGGACACGUGGUAUCCUGUCUGAAUAUGGGGGGACCAUCCUCCAAGGCUAAAUACUCCUGACUGACCGAUAGUGAACCAGUACCGUGAGGGAAAGGCGAAAAGAACCCCGGCGAGGGGAGUGAAAAAGAACCUGAAACCGUGUACGUACAAGCAGUGGGAGCACAGGUUUACCUGUGUGACUGCGUACCUUUUGUAUAAUGGGUCAGCGACUUAUAUUCUGUAGCAAGGUUAACCGUAUAGGGGAGCCGGAGGGAAACCGAGUCUUAAUUGGGCGUUAAGUUGCAGGGUAUAGACCCGAAACCCGGUGAUCUAGCCAUGGGCAGGUUGAAGGUUGGGUAACACUAACUGGAGGACCGAACCGACUAAUGUUGAAAAAUUAGCGGAUGACCUGUGGCUGGGGGUGAAAGGCCAAUCAAACCGGGAGAUAGCUGGUUCUCCCCGAAAGCUAUUUAGGUAGCGCCUCGUGAAUUCAUCUCCGGGGGUAGAGCACUGUUUCGGCUAGGGGGCCAUCCCGGCUUACCAACCCGAUGCAAACUGCGAAUACCGGAGAAUGUUAUCACGGGAGACACACGGCGGGUGCUAACGUCCGUCGUGAAGAGGGAAACAACCCAGACCGCCAGCUAAGGUCCCAAAGUCAUGGUUAAGUGGGAAACGAUGUGGGAAGGCCCAGACAGCCAGGAUGUUGGCUUAGAAGCAGCCAUCAUUUAAAGAAAGCGUAAUAGCUCACUGGUCGAGUCGGCCUGCGCGGAAGAUGUAACGGGGCUAAACCAUGCACCGAAGCUGCGGCAGCGAGUAUCAGAAGUGCGAAUGCUGACAUAAGUAACGAUAAAGCGGGUGAAAAGCCCGCUCGCCGGAAGACCAAGGGUUCCUGUCCAACGUUAAUCGGGGCAGGGUGAGUCGACCCCUAAGGCGAGGCCGAAAGGCGUAGUCGAUGGGAAACGGGUUAUAUUCCCGUACUUGGUGUUACUGCGAAGGGGGGACGGAGAAGGCUAUGUUGGCCGGGCGACGGUUGUCCCGGUUUAAGCGUGUAGGUGUGUGUUCCAGGUAAAUCCGGUUCACUUUAACACUGAGGCGUGACGACGAGGCACUACGGUGCUGAAGCAACAAAUGCCCUGCUUCCAGGAAAAGCCUCUAAGCAUCAGGUAACAUCAAAUCGUACCCCAAACCGACACAGGUGGUCAGGUAGAGAAUACCAAGGCGCUUGAGAGAACUCGGGUGAAGGAACUAGGCAAAAUGGUGCCGUAACUUCGGGAGAAGGCACGCUGACACGUAGGUGAAGUGAUUUACUCAUGGAGCUGAAGUCAGUCGAAGAUACCAGCUGGCUGCAACUGUUUAUUAAAAACACAGCACUGUGCAAACACGAAAGUGGACGUAUACGGUGUGACGCCUGCCCGGUGCCGGAAGGUUAAUUGAUGGGGUCAGCGCAAGCGAAGCUCCUGAUCGAAGCCCCGGUAAACGGCGGCCGUAACUAUAACGGUCCUAAGGUAGCGAAAUUCCUUGUCGGGUAAGUUCCGACCUGCACGAAUGGCGUAAUGAUGGCCAGGCUGUCUCCACCCGAGACUCAGUGAAAUUGAACUCGCUGUGAAGAUGCAGUGUACCCGCGGCAAGACGGAAAGACCCCGUGAACCUUUACUAUAGCUUGACACUGAACAUUGAGCCUUGAUGUGUAGGAUAGGUGGGAGGCUUUGAAGCGUGGACGCCAGUCUGCGUGGAGCCGACCUUGAAAUACCACCCUUUAAUGUUUGAUGUUCUAACGUGGACCCGUAAUCCGGGUUGCGGACAGUGUCUGGUGGGUAGUUUGACUGGGGCGGUCUCCUCCUAAAGAGUAACGGAGGAGCACGAAGGUUGGCUAAUCCUGGUCGGACAUCAGGAGGUUAGUGCAAUGGCAUAAGCCAGCUUGACUGCGAGCGUGACGGCGCGAGCAGGUGCGAAAGCAGGUCAUAGUGAUCCGGUGGUUCUGAAUGGAAGGGCCAUCGCUCAACGGAUAAAAGGUACUCCGGGGAUAACAGGCUGAUACCGCCCAAGAGUUCAUAUCGACGGCGGUGUUUGGCACCUCGAUGUCGGCUCAUCACAUCCUGGGGCUGAAGUAGGUCCCAAGGGUAUGGCUGUUCGCCAUUUAAAGUGGUACGCGAGCUGGGUUUAGAACGUCGUGAGACAGUUCGGUCCCUAUCUGCCGUGGGCGCUGGAGAACUGAGGGGGGCUGCUCCUAGUACGAGAGGACCGGAGUGGACGCAUCACUGGUGUUCGGGUUGUCAUGCCAAUGGCACUGCCCGGUAGCUAAAUGCGGAAGAGAUAAGUGCUGAAAGCAUCUAAGCACGAAACUUGCCCCGAGAUGAGUUCUCCCUGAGACUUAGAGUCUCCUGAAGGAACGUUGAAGACGACGACGUUGAUAGGCCGGGUGUGUAAGCGCAGCGAUGCGUUGAGCUAACCGGUACUAAUGAACCGUGAGGCUUAACCUUACAACGCCGAAG